AAAAAGGCUUUUUUAAAAGCCCCUACAAUCAUCCUAGCUUUGUCAU
This is a non-coding RNA of Monodelphis domestica (gray short-tailed opossum), 46 nucleotides long. NCBI's taxonomy places the organism in Eukaryota, Metazoa, Chordata, Mammalia, Didelphimorphia, Didelphidae. The record is from Rfam.